CCGAGUUUACAAACUCCCAAACCCUUUGUGAACCUUACCAUAUCGUUGCUUCGGCGGGACCGCCCCGGCGCCCUCGGGCCCGGAACCAGGCGCCCGCCGGAGGCCCCAAACUCUUAUGUCUUUAGUGGUUUUCUCCUCUGAGUGACACAUAAACAAAUAAAUAA
RNAcentral lists this unclassified non-coding RNA (164 nucleotides) under soil metagenome. RNAcentral's name for it is "partial internal transcribed spacer 1". The record is from RNAcentral.